GAUGAACGCUGGCGGCGUGCCUAAUACAUGCAAGUCGAGCGAACAGAUGGGGAGCUUGCUCCUCUGACGUUAGCGGCGGACGGGUGAGUAACACGUGGAUAACCUACCCAUAAGACUGGGAUAACUUCGGGAAACCGGAGCUAAUACCGGAUAAUAUAUUGAACCGCAUGGUUCAAUAGUGAAAGACGGUUUUGCUGUCACUUAUAGAUGGAUCCGCGCCGCAUUAGCUAGUUGGUAAGGUAACGGCUUACCAAGGCAACGAUGCGUAGCCGACCUGAAGGGGGGAUCGGCGACCUGGGAACUGAAACACGGUCCAGGGGCCUGAGGGAGGGAGCAGUAGGGAAUCUUACGCAAUGGGCGGAAGCCUGGCGGAGCAACGCCGCGUGAGUGAUGAAGGUCUUCGGAUCGUAAAAAUCUGUUAAUAGGGAAGAACAAAUGUAUAAGUAAAUAUGCACGUCUUGACGGUACCUAAUCAGAAAGCCACGGCUAACUACGUG
RNAcentral lists this ribosomal RNA (497 nucleotides) under uncultured bacterium. RNAcentral's name for it is "partial 16S ribosomal RNA". It matches the Rfam family "Bacterial small subunit ribosomal RNA", at positions 28 to 507 of the family's 1533-position model. The record is from RNAcentral.